UCAUUUCAUUAAUUAGUUAUUAAUUAAACAAGCUAUUUAAGCUAGUUACAUCGUUGAAUAAUAUCAUCACCAUCAUCAUUAUUAUAAAUUCGGCAUGCCGGGGGCCGGGCUUAUUGGAUUAUUUCUAAAAUUAACCGGUGGCUACUGGAUCAAUAAUGAACCGUUGUUCGUUUAUUCAAUUAAUAAUUCCAGGGAAGCAUAUAAUUAUAUUAUUUUGAUAUAUAUUUGAUGGUAGUUAUAGUAUCAAUUGUUGGUUGAGAUUGGUGUAGUUUCAAUACUAUCUUGAUUGUAUUUGUAUUGUU
Molecule: long non-coding RNA, 302 nt
Organism: Erigeron canadensis
Lineage: Eukaryota; Viridiplantae; Streptophyta; Magnoliopsida; Asterales; Asteraceae
Exons: 2
Source: RefSeq, a predicted model, not a curated record